AGCUGUUAGGUACCUAAUCAAUAGGCCUCAAAACCCUAUGGCGGCUCUCACUCUGAUUUAAUUCAAGUAGCCCUUUCCAUAGGUAGCCCUUUCCUAGGAUUUGAACCUGGGUCGCAGUGGUUGCUUUGAUACGAAAUGUUAGGUACCUAACCAAUACGCCCAAAAUCCUUCGGUAAUGGAAAUACGGAAAGUUACGCCCUUAAACUACCUAGGAUCAUUACACCAGCAAACCCUAAUUUCCUAGCCCUAAUUUUAUCAAAACGCGUAUAUAGAAUUGCAGCAAAAAAAUAAAAAAUUAACUCACUGAUUUAAGACUUUUCUGUGAGUGAACCCAAAUAUUUCACAUUUAUCAAUUAAAAAUAGCAGAAAAAACAAAAAAAUCAUUAAUUUGGCAUUUAUUAGCAAUAAUAACAACAACAACAACAAAAAUUCAAACUCACUUAUUUGGGGCUUCUUUGUGAGAUUCAAUUAUUUUAAAUUUAUCAAUAAAUAAUAGCAACAAAAAACAACCACUGAUUCGCGACUUCAAUCUUUUCAAGCGCUGUGACAAUGGCGAUGUUGCGAGAUUUGUUGUGGGCGUCUUUCUCUUCUUCGACCUAGGGUUUUCACAGGCUUUACGAGCUUAGCUUUUUCUUCCUCAAGGGAAGCUCGAAGAGGUGCAGAGAUGGGAGGCUCCGAGGGACAGAAGGGAAGCUCACAGAAAUGCGGCGAGAGGGAAUGUUUUGAGGGGUGAAAGUCGGGCAACUUUUUUUGGUUGAAAGUUGCCGCUCACCAUAUGGGAUGCCUGGUUGAUAUGUUGGAGGUGAA
RNAcentral lists this long non-coding RNA (807 nucleotides) under Amborella trichopoda. RNAcentral's name for it is "long non-coding RNA (ATRI_LNC001616)". Lineage: Eukaryota; Viridiplantae; Streptophyta; Magnoliopsida; Amborellales; Amborellaceae. The record is from RNAcentral.